AUUGUGUUUUAAGGGCGAGUGCAGAUCAAAUGGCCUAAUCUCCUGUUUUUGCUCCCUGUAUGAUCCGUUUGUUGGCUAACUAGCCACCUUAUGGCAUAACGAAUGAACAGAUCAACUGGCAAAGCUAGCUAGCUGCAGUGUCAACCAUGUAGCUAGAUCAACAGCUUGUAGUGGCACGACCAAGGAGGAGGAGAAAGGACCAGGGAAGAAAAGGAAAUUCCCUUCAGAGUGGAAAGGAGAGGUUAAGAAGAGGACGAGGCUGGAGGACUAUCUGUGCCGGAGGACAAGAUGGUGCUGGUGCAACAGUAUAACUUUAGACCGUCCCCUCGCCCAUACCCGGGCGUGAACCACACAUCAACAACAGUCACCCACGAAGUUGCAGACUACCUGUGCUGG
Long non-coding RNA from Oncorhynchus keta (chum salmon), 396 nucleotides. RefSeq lists it as uncharacterized. The record is from RefSeq and is a predicted model, not a curated record. NCBI's taxonomy places the organism in Eukaryota, Metazoa, Chordata, Actinopteri, Salmoniformes, Salmonidae. The transcript is spliced from 3 exons.